GACGAACGCUGGCGGCGUGCCUAAUACAUGCAAGUCGAGCGGACCUUUUAAAAGCUUGCUUUUGAAAGGUCAGCGGCGGACGGGUGAGUAACACGUGGGCAACCUGCCUGUAAGACUGGGAUAACUUCGGGAAACCGGAGCUAAUACCGGAUAAUAUAAGGAACCUCCUGGUUCUUUAUUGAAAGAUGGUCUCGGCUAUCACUUACAGAUGGGCCCGCGGGGCAUUAGCUAGUUGGUGAGGUAACGGCUCACCAAGGCGACGAUGCGUAGCCGACCUGAGAGGGUGAUCGGCCACACUGGGACUGAGACACGGCCCAGACUCCUACGGGAGGCAGCAGUAGGGAAUCUUCCACAAUGGACGAAAGUCUGAUGGAGCAACGCCGCGUGAGCGAUGAAGGCCUUCGGGUCGUAAAGCUCUGUUGUUAGGGAAGAACAAGUGCGAGAGUAGCUGCUCGCACCUUGACGGUACCUAACCAGAAAGCCACGGCUAACUACGUGCCAGCCGCCGCGGUAA
RNAcentral lists this ribosomal RNA (514 nucleotides) under uncultured bacterium. Its description in RNAcentral is "partial 16S ribosomal RNA". It matches the Rfam family "Bacterial small subunit ribosomal RNA", at positions 28 to 523 of the family's 1533-position model. The record is from RNAcentral.